UACGUAGGGUGCGAGCGUUGUCCGGAAUUAUUGGGCGUAAAGAGCUUGUAGGCGGUUUGUCGCGUCUGCUGUGAAAAUCCGGGGCUCAACCCCGGACUUGCAGUGGGUACGGGCAGACUAGAGUGUGGUAGGGGAGACUGGAAUUCCUGGUGUAGCGGUGAAAUGCGCAGAUAUCAGGAGGAACACCGAUGGCGAAGGCAGGUCUCUGGGCCAC
RNAcentral lists this ribosomal RNA (214 nucleotides) under uncultured bacterium. RNAcentral describes it as "partial 16S ribosomal RNA". It matches the Rfam family "Bacterial small subunit ribosomal RNA", at positions 524 to 737 of the family's 1533-position model. The record is from RNAcentral.